RNAcentral lists this ribosomal RNA (252 nucleotides) under uncultured bacterium. RNAcentral describes it as "partial 16S ribosomal RNA". It matches the Rfam family "Bacterial small subunit ribosomal RNA", at positions 524 to 776 of the family's 1533-position model. The record is from RNAcentral. RNAcentral also lists the same sequence under 1 other name.
UACGUAGGUAGCGAGCGUUAUCCGGAAUUAUUGGGCGUAAAGGGUGCGUAGGCGGCUUGUUAAGUUUAAGGUGAAAGCGUGGGGCUCAACCCCAUAAAGCCUUAGAUACUGGCAAGCUAGAGUACUGGAGAGGGUAGUGGAAUUCCAUGUGUAGCGGUAAAAUGCGUAGAUAUAUGGAGGAACACCGGUGGCGAAGGCGGCUACCUAGACAGAGACUGACGCUGAUGCACGAAAGCGUGGGGAGCAAAUAGG